GGGGAAUAUUGGACAAUGGGCGCAAGCCUGAUCCAGCCAUGCCGCGUGAGUGAUGAAGGCCCUAGGGUUGUAAAGCUCUUUCAGUGGGGAAGAUAAUGACGGUACCCACAGAAGAAGCCCCGGCUAACUUCGUGCCAGCAGCCGCGGUAAUACGAAGGGGGCUAGCGUUGUUCGGAAUUACUGGGCGUAAAGCGCGCGUAGGCGGACUUUUUAGUCAGGGGUGAAAUCCCGGGGCUCAACCCCGGAAUGGCCUUUGAUACUGGAAGUCUAGAGUCCGAGAGAGGUGAGUGGAAUUCCGAGUGUAGAGGUGAAAUUCGUAGAUAUUCGGAGGAACACCAGUGGCGAAGGCGGCUCACUGGCUCGGUACUGACGCUGAGGUGCGAAAGCGUGGGGAGCAAAC
RNAcentral lists this ribosomal RNA (400 nucleotides) under uncultured bacterium. RNAcentral describes it as "bacterial SSU rRNA". It matches the Rfam family "Bacterial small subunit ribosomal RNA", at positions 356 to 773 of the family's 1533-position model. The record is from RNAcentral.